Molecule: ribosomal RNA, 428 nt
Filed under: uncultured bacterium
Lineage: Bacteria
Description: bacterial SSU rRNA
Rfam family: Bacterial small subunit ribosomal RNA
Source: RNAcentral
UGGGGAAUAUUGCGCAAUGGGCGAAAGCCUGACGCAGCGACGCCGCGUGGGUGAUGAAGGCCUUCGGGUCGUAAAGCCCUGUCGGGAGGGACGAAACCUCGGUGACCUAAUACGUCACCGACCUGACGGUACCUCUUAAGGAAGCACCGGCUAACUCCGUGCCAGCAGCCGCGGUAAUACGGAGGGUGCGAGCGUUACUCGGAAUUACUGGGCGUAAAGCGUGCGUAGGUGGUUGUUUAAGUCUGAUGUGAAAGCCCUGGGCUCAACCUGGGAAUGGCAUUGGAAACUGGGCAGCUAGAGUGCGGUAGAGNGUAGUGGAAUUCCCGGUGUAGCAGUGAAAUGCGUAGAGAUCGGGAGGAACAUCUGUGGCGAAGGCGACUGCCUGGACCAGCACUGACACUGAGGCACGAAAGCGUGGGGAGCAAACA